RNAcentral lists this unclassified non-coding RNA (144 nucleotides) under soil metagenome. RNAcentral describes it as "partial internal transcribed spacer 1". The record is from RNAcentral.
UAAUAAGUGUUUUAUGGCACUUUUUAAGUCCAUAUCCACCUUGUGUGCAAUGUCAGCGAUCUUCUUCAUGGAGAUCGACCAAACAUCAACCUUUAUCUUUUAACUCUUUGUCUUAAAAAUAUUAUGAAUAAACAAUUCAAAAUA